This 575-nucleotide small RNA is filed under the name Pongo abelii (Sumatran orangutan). RNAcentral's name for it is "retained intron". Lineage: Eukaryota; Metazoa; Chordata; Mammalia; Primates; Hominidae. The record is from RNAcentral.
AGGCUUCAUGGCGGCGCGGCCACUGUCCCGGAUGCUGUGGCGGCUCCUGAGGUCCAGCGCCCGGAGCUGCAGCUCAGGGGCUCCGGUGACACAGCCCUGCCCCGGGGAGUCCGCGCGAGCUGCCUCGGAGGUCAGUACUGCAUGCCCGAGGAGGGGGUCCCGCUGACCCCCAAAGCCAACCUGCUGACCACAGAGGAGAUCCUGACCCUCGCCCGGCUCUUUGUGAAGGAAGGCGUCGACAAGAUCCGGCUCACAGGCGGAGAGCCGCUCAUCCGGCCGGACGUGGUAGACAUUGUGGCCCAGCUCCAGCGGCUGGAAGGGCUGAGGACCAUAGGUGUUACCACCAACGGCGUCAACCUGGCCCGGCUGCUGCCCCAGCUUCAGAAGGCUGGUCUCAGUGCCAUCAACAUCAGCCUGGACACCCUGGUGCCUGCCAAGUUUGAGUUCAUCGUCCGCAGGAAAGGCUUCCACAAGGUCAUGGAGGGCAUCCACAAGGCCAUCGAGCUGGGCUACAACCCUGUGAAGGUGAGGCCGUACCCCUGCCGUAGAUUCCCGACUUCCCUCCACACUGCCCU